RNAcentral lists this long non-coding RNA (1015 nucleotides) under Equus asinus (donkey). RNAcentral's name for it is "lncRNA (ENSEASG00005036244.1)". The record is from RNAcentral. Lineage: Eukaryota; Metazoa; Chordata; Mammalia; Perissodactyla; Equidae.
AAAGAGGACUCACGUUUUUGUUCUGUUUCUGAGUGCCUACUAUAAGCCAGCACUGUUACAAACAUGGCGCUCAUUAUUCUCAUUUAUAGAUGUGAAAAACUAGGCCCAGAGAGGUUAAGAAACACAGCGAGUUCACACAGCUGAGCCAGCGUUGAAACCAUGGUUACCUCCCUCGGAAAAUUGACGCUUUCUUUUUCACAAAUCCACAACAGGUGGAGGUGGGGACGGCAGGAAAUGAGGGAUAAAUGGGGCGCCAAUACUCAGAUCUUGCCUGUCAGCUGGCAGGAGGAGUUUCGGAAACCCUUUCGGGGCUGCCCUAAACGAGUUGUUAUCUCUCCACUCUCUGCCUUCUUCGGGCACAAUUCAGGUUACGUGAUGGAAGAUACAGAUGGAGUUUUGCUUUUUAAAGUCCCAGGGAGAGCUGCGAUCACAGAGGGUUUCUCUGGUUCAGAUCCUGGGCGCGGACAUGGCACCACUCAUCAGGCCAUGCUGAGAUGGCAUCCUGCAUGCAAUGACUGGAAGGACCCACAACUAAGGAACCUAAGGAAGCCAGCUAACUCUCACGUAAAAGUCCUGAGUUGGGCAUUGGAGAUGCACAGAUGGACGUGAUCUGGCUCAGGAUGCUAAGCAUGAUACGGUCCGGUUCCACCAAAAUCCAUCUCCUGUGCCACCGGGGAGAGUGGGACACACUCUAGAGAGCCAGUUAAGAAGGAGGCUUAGUUCCACCUUUGCCAUCUCCUGGCUGUGUGACCUGGGGCCAGUGAGCACCUUGUCUUUCUCUUCACCUCAUCAAGUUGCUGACAUACAGCCUGUCAAAGGCACCCAGUCCUGGAAUUGCCCUCUGGAACUUUCUGGCCAAAUAGUCUUCCAGUCCUUGCUGGGCAGGGAAAUAGUCCUGUGCGGUGGCUGAACGAGCUCAGGACACUCCUGCACUUGUCCCAAAUCGGGCUCCUUACAGCAAGUCCUCUGCUCCUGGUUCUUGUCUUCAGAACUCAUCCAUCCUUUACAUCCUUUC